CUGGGAACAAUAACCCAAGCUGCACGCCCGCCCGCCCGUCCGCCUGGCCUGGGCAGGGGCUGCUCCCUGACCCCGCCCCUUUCCACCUCCGGAGCCCUGACUCUAACGUGGUGCGCACAAGAAGGGAGUUUCGCCUCUCUUGCAGUCUCCUGAGUCCUGGGGACCGCUGAGCAGGGCAGGUUGUGGGAUACUUGUCAUUCCAGGAGCAGCAGGCUGCGACAUGGUCCAUUUCUCCUCUGGGAGACCUGAGUGGAACGCUGCGGGGAGGCAAUUUGGGAUGCCAACUGAUCACCCAGCCGGCUGUGGGUCUCCUCGCUUCAGGGAAGCCAGGGUAGUGAUGUAUUUGUGUCCCGGUGAAUACCUCGGGCAUUCUUUGUUCCCUUGGGGAGGCGCUUCCAUAGUGAAGUUCAAAGCACCCGCUCACAAGCCACGUACCCUAAUCCUCUCUCUGAUCUGGAUUUUGUUGUGUAACUAAACUGAUUACAAGACUUUGGCUGGCACUUGGGCUAGGCUGUGUCUUUGGGAUAGCCUCUCACAGGCUUCGUUGCCACGUGGUGAUACACCAGCUGAGGGCCCUGUGACGAUGUGGGGGAGUUUGUGAAGCAGCAAGAAAUCUGGGGCUGGGACCUCACAAUGGCAUUAGCCUACCUCACCCUUGCUAUGCACUGUGGCUUCUCUCUUCUUCCCUAGUCCUUGACGAGCAUCUCAGACCAUACGCGAUGCCAUUCCUGAGCCAGCCUUGUCCAACAACACUGUUCUUCCCACUCCUGUGUCUUUGAUUUCUGGUCUUCUCCAUAGUGGCAGCUCCUACCAAUGCCCAUAUUGUCCCAGCAAUCAGGCUUCUGUCCGAGAACCCAGAAUUCCAUGCCUCUACUGGGUCAAGAAUCUGCCAGCAAACGGCUGAGGAGCCUCAUGCUUGGUCCACUCUUGCCCUUCCACUGCAAACAUGCUAUUCCUAUGCUCUCUACCAGCACCAAUGGUUCUGCCCCCGGGAUGAUGAGCGAGCAGAAUAUUGGACAGACCAGAAGCAGGGCAAGUUCUUGCUGCAUAAAGGAUCUAACAGACAGUCUCCUGUGA
Molecule: long non-coding RNA, 1077 nt
Filed under: Rattus norvegicus (Norway rat)
Lineage: Eukaryota; Metazoa; Chordata; Mammalia; Rodentia; Muridae
Description: long non-coding RNA NONRATT032015
Source: RNAcentral